AGCUUUCUGAGUCCGUACUGAGAUUUCGUCAGACUGCAACUUACCAGGACUGGUGAGACUUCUAAGAUAAGUAAAGUA
Molecule: non-coding RNA, 78 nt
Organism: Schistosoma curassoni
Lineage: Eukaryota; Metazoa; Platyhelminthes; Trematoda; Strigeidida; Schistosomatidae
Source: Rfam